This 235-nucleotide ribosomal RNA is filed under the name uncultured bacterium. Its description in RNAcentral is "partial 16S ribosomal RNA". It matches the Rfam family "Bacterial small subunit ribosomal RNA", at positions 87 to 339 of the family's 1533-position model. The record is from RNAcentral.
CGGAGGGAGUGGCAGACGGGUGAGUAACACGUGGGAACGUACCCUUCGGUUCGGAAUAACUCAGGGAAACUUGUGCUAAUACCGAAUACGUCCGAGAGGAGAAAGAUUUAUCGCCGAAGGAUCGGCCCGCGUCUGAUUAGCUAGUUGGUAAGGUAAUGGCUUACCAAGGCAACGAUCAAUAGCUGUUCUGAGAGGAUGAUCAGCCACACUGGGACUGAGAUACGGCCCAGACUCC